This is a long non-coding RNA of Rosa rugosa (rugosa rose), 757 nucleotides long. RefSeq lists it as uncharacterized. The transcript is spliced from 3 exons. The record is from RefSeq and is a predicted model, not a curated record. Lineage: Eukaryota; Viridiplantae; Streptophyta; Magnoliopsida; Rosales; Rosaceae.
GCUCGCCUCAACGUCCUGAAGCUCCCAGAAGUGGCCUUGCACGGCGGCGCUACUCGUGGUGGCGGCUGGAAGCCAGACCCGAUCAAAUCGAAAAACCGAAGCUUCGAUCGGUAUAUCUCGAGCUGUAGUGCAUCGUUUUGAUUGAUUCUUUUUCCAGUGGGUUCCCCUUGAUGUUGUUAACAACUCUCUAGAAGGCAUCGAGGCCUGAAAUUGAAGUUUUUACGUCGAUCGGAGCCCUCGCCGGAUUCUGCAAAAUUCUGCAAAUUUUCCGACCACCGAAGCUUUCGAUCGGUAUAUCUCGAGCUACAGACCAUAUUUUUCUGUGAUUCUUGAACCAAUGCGUUCGUCUUGAGUUUCUUAACAACUCUCUAGAAGGAAUCGAAGCCUGAAAUUGAAGUUUUGACGUCGAAAUCAAGCCUUGCCGGAUUCUGCAAAUUUCGCCGGAUUCUGGAAAUUUUCCGGCCACCUCGACUGUUCUAGGUUAUCGACGGAUUGAUUUGGUGGACGAUUCGGAUUGAUGUAUUUGGCUUUUUAGAAGACGCAGCUGGAUUAGAGCGGGAAAUCCUACAGGUCAGGAAGAUCAAGGCGGAGAUCGUGCGGGUUAGAGUUUUUGUUUCAGUUUACAGCUUUGUAAAUUGUGAGAUGUAUUAUUAAGAGGUGUGAAGUGUGGUUGUUGUGAGAAAAAAAUUCAGGACGUUUAUUCUAUUAAGUUGUAUAAUUCAUGUUUCGGAUUUUAAUUGUAUUUAAAAUUCGGGGC